UACAGAGGGUGCAAGCGUUGUCCGGAAUCACUGGGCGUAAAGGGCGCGUAGGCGGCCUGAUAAGUAGGAGGGGAAAUCCUGGGGCUUAACCUCAGGGCUGCCUUCUAGACUGUCCGGCUCGAGCACAGUAGAGGCAGGUGGAAUUCCCGGUGUAGCGGUGGAAUGCGUAGAGAUCGGGAAGAACAUCGGUGGCGAAGGCGGCCUGCUGGGCUGUUGCUGACGCUGAGGCGCGACAGCGUGGGGAGCAAACAGG
RNAcentral lists this ribosomal RNA (253 nucleotides) under uncultured bacterium. RNAcentral describes it as "partial 16S ribosomal RNA". It matches the Rfam family "Bacterial small subunit ribosomal RNA", at positions 524 to 776 of the family's 1533-position model. The record is from RNAcentral.